Molecule: ribosomal RNA, 4945 nt
Filed under: Triticum aestivum (bread wheat)
Lineage: Eukaryota; Viridiplantae; Streptophyta; Magnoliopsida; Poales; Poaceae
Description: partial small subunit ribosomal RNA
Source: RNAcentral
GAACUAGAGUCCCGCCAGUCAUCGCGAACUAGAGUCCCGCCGACCGCCGCGAACUAAAGCGCCUGCCGGCCGCGACGUGUUCUAGGCUCGCCAGCCGCCGCGAACUAGAGCCUCUGUCGGCCACCGGGAACUGAAGUCCCUACCGGCCGCCGCAAACUCUAGGACCAAUCGACCCCAGUUCGUUCUCAUCCGGUAGAUGCCGCUCCUACCGCCGGCCGCUCGUCGUCCCGGUUCGUUCUUCUCGACCCACUACGGUUUGUGGAGGAAAAUUGCCUGGACUCGGACCCUCACGAAGAGUAGAUACCCUAGCUGCUUGCCAUCGUCGAGAAGAGUUGUUUCGUCGCCGAAUGGAAUCGUCCGACCCGGUGUCUUUAAUAGACUUCUGUGUGUCCGAUGGACGACACGUUGUAUAGACAGAGUCGAGACUGAACUCCGCGUUACCGGCUCCAACACUAAGAGUACCGUCACCGUUUCUAGCCACAUCGAGACCCCUUACUUCGUUACUUGGUCCGAUGAAAUGUCAAGAUAUUGAAAUAUUGUGUCGAUUGUCUCGAAGUUCCUUCGUACCCAGCGUAGUCUUCCCUCGAGUCCAACUACGUACUUAUAGAAACGGCUUACCUGUAUGCCUUAGCGUUGUUAGUCUGUAUACUUUAGACCCACCUCCUCCACUCUUACGAACAAGUACCCUAACUCCUGUAACACCUACUCAUAAACGUAGAACAACCAGUCUUUGUACUGUCACCUACCUCACGGAUAGACUUCUUUCCUAAGUUUGUUGGUUUACAAAAUAAGAGAAAUUUGUCCCAUCGAAGAAACCAAUUCCUUCGCCUCCAGUUAGAACACGUGGACAAGGUCCGAUUUCUAGCUACCCACAGUUACCAUCUAUCACCCAUAUACUUACUGAGUUCAAUGUAACAACUCUCCAGAGUCGUAGAUCGUUCGUGAAGUGCAAGGGAACGACUUCUUCUAGAGCACCUCCAACUACCUUUGUCUUUUUUCGAACUCGUCACCAACCGUCCACUACUCAACCUUGCGAGACACCAUCACGACGUACCAUACCCUCCCGAACCAUUUUGUUGAAACCGACGUUUACAGAUGUCCUUCCUUUGUCUUUUAAAACUAACGGUAACAACCCAGAGACAGAGAGUUUGAAUAAGGUCUCUUCUACAAAAUUUUUUUAAUUAGUUCCUCGAAAAGUUUCUGUUUCGGUAACAAGGUAGAUUAUAACUCUGGUACCUGUAGUAUUCGGAACUUCUCCGUGACUUCUUAAAAAAUCUCGUCGCAUUCAUAAACUAGUACGACCUACUACAAACCUGAGGACUUCGUAAAGUACUAGAAAGACCCCACCAAUAAGCAUUGUUCUUCCCGUCGUCUCAACAUUAGUGUUGGUCCCUUCCGUUACAACGAGCUGAACGAAGAGUUCCUGUCCAGAAUUGUGAUUUUGGAGAUAGUUUCCUACCUAGUACCGUUGAGAAGACAUUCUGUCGAAAGGGGUCUCUAUGUUUUACACUCACAGGGUGUCUUGACUGUCUUAAUCGUGUACUUCACCAACUGUUCACAUUUCCGUAUGGGGAGCGUUAACAGAGAUAACCGUUCGAGGAGAAACAUGCACUGUUCUGGUUUCUCCUUGACUUCGCUUAUGUACUGGUCGAGCUGACCCUCGAUCAAUUGUUAGGUUCGAACCUUGUACAGUCCUUAUAGGAAAUAAACUCAAUGAACAUGGAAGGCUGUAUGAACUUUUCAACGAAAGACAUGACGUCGAACAAGGGUCUCCUGAUAGAAAAGUUUUCCUUUUUCGACUAUGCUAACACCCAUCGUCUCCCGAAGCAGUUCCCUUCCCCACUUUCGUGUUACCUCCUUCACCGACUUCCAAUAGAUCUUCUCAACCAAGUGUCUUUAUACGAAGUUCAACUAUGUUCUUUGGGUAAACCAUCCUAUUUUAGUAAGUCCUACGUACUAUAACAUGCACUCAACCGUCAUCUAAACACAGCGGCCCUUACGAAACCACAACAAAUACUCCUCCUAUUUAUAUACCUUAGAGAACUACUCUACCUACGUGCAGCUGACCAUUAUGUGUUUUACUUCUUCCUAUAAAUAGUCAGUCAUAGUCCACAUGUGGCAGAGGCGAGACAAUAGCGUAACCUGUAGUUAUAAGGUAGGUGAAAUGACGGAGAUUAUCGUUACUUCAGGUCUAUAUACAGCCACGACCUCAAUUCACCGGAUGGGUAACUCUUUCAAGGUCUACCAUAACCUCUAGAAAAGUUAGAGGCGAUAAACCCAGACGCACCAAGUUUUCACUUCGAGGAAGGGUCCAGAUAACUCUUUGAAAGUUCAAACAACUGUGACCUGGAAAGUCCCAGACCGUACUUCCUCGACGGAUCUCCGUAACCAUUUGAUUUUUUCGAAUCCGUCAAUAAGUGACUGUUUCGAUCACUAGCUAAAUCCUCUCUAAAGGCUACGCCGUCACCACAUACGUAGGGGUUCCCGGAACUCUUGGACUGUUCAGACGUCUGUGAUCAUAGUAACCUUCGCGUCCUACUCAGGCAAUCUGUCAACCCCCUCGACUCCGUCGACUCUUCGAACCUCUAUACCUUACACUUUCCUUGGAUGACACCUGUAUAUAGACGAAGAGAUCGGCCCUACGCUGUGGAAAGGAUGGAUGUACACUUACGUUCGCUUCUGUUACUCCAAGAGGCCAACUCACCAGAUGGGGGUUUGGACGUUUCCUAAUCGAACUGACCGGCUAAUCGCCUUCCGUGUAACCAUCUCAGAGGAGACAAGGUUUGACGCCCCGCCUUGGACAUAAGUGACAGAGAUAGAACCAGGGUCUACUAUGUUCUGGGGAAUGGUAGGGAAAGAGCUAACAGUUUAAACAGUCUGGACUACGAGUGGUCCCGCAUGUCUCCUUUCGUCUACUGUAAAGAACGGCCCACCAAGGGGUUCGAUUUUUGGGACUCUGACUCUCUGGACGGUUUAGACCUCCAAGAUCUCUACUUCCUUCCACGGCAACACUCGGAGCUUUAUAAUUGUGAUCAGUUGGAACUUCCGUACCACCUCCAGGGUGGACCGUAUCUCAAAGAGCGCGUACAUUUCGUAUAAAGCAAGGCCCUUUAGUGGUCGCUCAAAAACUGAAGCGACGCUGUUACAGGAUCUUGAGUUCCCUACGUCACCGCCGUAUGAGAGUCCACUGUAAUUGGGACGACCGGAGCUUUACUCAGCUAAACCACGAGCCCGAGUAGACGUGGACUUUAGACUCGGAAACCAACAACGGAACUCUACCAUUUUUAGCACAGUCUACGCUGUCUCGACCUGGCAACUUUUUUCUCCUAUGUCCGAUAUAUGACAUACCGUGUCACGCGUGCCCACCCGGUCAACGCAUCGAACACCGCAGCGAGGCACUAACGCCCGCAGACUCGGCACCGAGUCUUGAACAGGCUACGAUCCGGUCCAGCACUCCACGGUUUGCUCGGCAGGGACCUGACGUGCAGACAAACACCCCUCCAUGGAGCGCCAUUACCGCCCGCACAAGUGGCUAAGGGGUGGGUCCCUCCUCAAGCGCCUGUCGAACCUCGUCGGUUUAGGGCUGUGAGAUCCCAAGGAGGCAGACAGGUACCGGCGACCCGACGUAGCGGCGACUGCGGCAAAGGUGGCGGGGUAGUGGCAACUGGGGCUGCGGUGGUGACGAGAGAUCUAGAGUCAGAGCGGCCGCGAGGAGUGACGGAACGAGGGGAGAUGACCUGUCGACGAGCGGCCGCAGCAGAAAGAGGACAUGACCAGCCGCAGUAGAGCAAGAGCCCGUGAUUGUUCAGGUACAGGGGGACCAAGACGUGCUGUAGAGAUCGGGCUGUCGGAGGUGGUCUGUGGUGCCCAAGGAGGAGGACCUCCUCAAGUGGCUGUCGGUACCUCUUGGUCUAGGUCAUGAAGACUACAACAAUGGCAGUCCGCUCCGGUUGUCUAGGUACGGCCGCCUGAGCUUAAGACUCAGAACUACGGUCCGCUCCGGUGCCAUCCCGAACGCCGUCGCUGCCCUCCAUAGAGGCUGAGCCAGGCGCGUCAGUCGACUGUCCCAGUUGGGGCUCCGUAUUACGUGGAAUAGCAGCCUGGACUUCCGACUCGACUGAGGACCACCACUCCACUGCAAUUUACAGACCUCUACGUAUGUCGUGUACGACUUACGUUUCCUCUUCUCCUACAUGGCACCCACCGAGCGCUCCACCUCUCUAAGGCGCGAAACACUCGAAACGUCCCGUCUGUUAAUUCACCUGACCCUAAUAUAGUCGUACUACUACUUGGGAAUUAACUAUCCCAUGUCUUAACUAACCGACCUUUUCAACUACAAGGGUCACGAAAAGUACCUGGCGACCAGUAAUAUGUAAGAGCUAUGACUCUUCUUCCAACACUACCACAAACUGGGUUGGCUCUGUCUAGGCUGUCUACUCUACUUCUCCUUCGUGCUCCGUAAUAGCUCCUUCAAGACCAAAUCUAAGACGGUGGACAGGUUACAGUACAAGCCACGUCCACGUCCCAACCAGCUCUGCUGACCGACCUGUAAACACAUGGGGGACCACCGCGUCGUGCUUGGUACGUACUCCUAUCGUCACACAGUACGCGAUGUAAGACCUCAAGUGACCAGAAAUGGAACCAAGCUACGAAUGGGUUCGUGUCGAACUCGUGGAUUAUUCUUUCUUUUAACGUAUACACCAGUCACUAGUACUUCCCCUUGUUCCCUUUAUAGGACAUAAAGGACGUGUUUCUUUUAAACAUGAAUCUCUGGAUUCGUCUAAUUAAUCUUAAUGCCUGCGACGCUCGUUUCAACAUACCUGUCUAAUGGGAGAUAGACUUAAGCGUUACAGUAUUGAUUGAUAACCACCGCUAAACACGAGAAUUUCCGAACGUGCCGACACAAAUACUGUUUUUUUUUUUGGACUGAUUUAAAGUUUUACCU